UUCACCAGGUGUUAAAUAUUACAGAAUGGUCAUGGGUGACAACUGAACUGGCAAUAACAAGGUUUUUUGGUGAACUUUUAUUUUGUUAACUAACUUUAUUCAAAGUUGACAAUAGGAUCAGUGUGGUUAGUUGGUUUGUUUGUUUAUCAAACAGUCAUUUCUAUGAUCUUUAUAAUCAUUUAACCUGCUAAUUACUAGUAACCUUCUCUUUCUAAAAGGGCAUCUUGGAACCUGUGCCUUUCUCUUUUCUUACAAAGAAAUAAACUGGGGGUGUGUACAUGGUUGAGAGCCUGUAUACAUCUUUUAGGAAUGUGCAAUACAUGUCAUUAUGGUGGUGACUAAAAAGCCCUCCAUCUCUAAUCUCUUCCUUUAUUCUGUUGUUAUAGUGAGGAUCAGGGAUCGAGAUCUUCUCUGGCUCAUGUUCCUUCUUUAGUCUCUAUUUUUGUCUUUCAUUCUCCCGUCACUGCAUUCUCACUGCCAAUGUGAAAGGCAGGUGCAGAGCUGUGGUCCCUCGGAAUACUAAUUCAAAUAUAAAUUACAGCUGCAAGAGGACAGGGCACAGUCAGUACCACAAGCCUGCCAUUCCUGUGGUCCUCACUGAGCCUCAUGGUGUCAGUACUUGUUGAAUUAAAUUUUAAGUUGAAUUAAGCUUUGUUCCCAGGGAUUUUGAAGGCAGAAAACAAGAGCAAUCUUAUGACUUCCUCAAGGAUUAAAUAUGGUAGUAGAGCCAUGAGGGGAUGCUAGUGUGAUGUAAUGAUUAUAGCCUGCACUACACAUCCUUUUCUAGGAGGUUAAGGCUUCUUGUAAUUAUAAAUAAUUACAAUAUUAAUGACGAACAAUGGUGUUGCUCUCUCUGCUCAAGAAGUCGAACCAUGACUUUUUGGGUUUUUCCCAGUCCAUGGUCCAUUACAUUUUAUAAUACUUGAACUCUCACUCCUUGCAUUCUUCAUUUCAUUGAAAUUAAAAGGUAAAGAAUCUUAGUUUGGUCCUGCAGCUGAAAAUGACCCCAAAGUAAUAGUGUGCCACAAAAUAAUUCCUGUGAGACCUAUUAGGAGAAUACAAUGAUUUUUGGCUAAAAGAAGAAGGAAUACAAAGACUUAUGCUGUACAAUAGUUACUGGGACCUGUUCAUUUUUUUUCUGUGAAACAGAAACCUUAUCUAUGGUUUAUAUGGUUGGGUUUUUUUCUUUUGUGUUUUUUUUCCCUUUCCUUUCUUUUUGGGUGUGUGUGUGUUUUGUUUUCGUUUUAUUUUGGUGUAUUUUUUUUAGCCCUUUAUUUUUCUAUGGGAGCAGGUUGAGGCAGGGAUGUUUGUGCUCUCUUUUUUUGGUGGGAGCUGUUUUCAGCAGUAAUUAGUCCUCUACAAAUCCUCUUUUCUUGCUGCUUUGUCUCUGUGGUUGUGUUACACAGUGAAAGCCCUUCUUGACAAAAACAACCUGGGUUGAAAAUUAAGAUGAGAAACAUCCUUGGAGGAGCAUUCUGACUUUUAACCUUACUGGUUUUAUCUCAAGAAGUAUUUUCUUCUAUUUAAUUCCCUUUCUGGGUUGCCCUUUCCUGACAUGUCCUGACCCUGACUUUCCAAACAGACUCUCCCUCCUCCCUAGCCCUUGAACGUGGCCAAUUUUCUGUGCCUCUGGGCUAGAAGCAGGCAAGUAGAGAGAGGGCUCUCUCCAGGUUUCCUCUCAUGAGCCUGGAGACAAACUGCACUGUGCUAAAUGCUGGGGGCUUGUCCUGAUGCUGGUGACCACUGAGCUUGUUUUCACACCCCUCUUUCCUGAGAGAAGUUAGACCCCAGGUCUUCAGAGGUGAAGAGGGGAAAUGCUGCGUUUUGUGUGCGGGUGCUGUUGGCAAAAUGCAGGUUUAUUCUGCUUUCCUGCAAGUGUGUCAGAAGUGCUCUGGCCUGUCCUGCUCUUCAGCCAUGGACAGCUGUAUUUGCCAGGUUAUGGAGUGUAUUUGUUCAGAUUUGGUGCUCUGGGGCCCCAACAGAGCCCAAGUGUUAUAAAUACAUCAGCGUUCUGUAGCUAUCAGGACAGUUAGAAUGCUGUCAGCCUCAUGAAAGAUGUUACAAUAGCUUUCAAAGCAUUUAGAAAAAGAGCCCUUUGAUCCUCUGUGUUCCAGUGAGCUAAAAGAGAUGCUUUUGCAUGGGGGAAGGGGAAAUGCUUUUCUUUUAGCUGCUACAAAUGCCUGUCAGUGGGUGAGGUUGUGAGCUUUGAGUCUGUUAUUGGAGAGCACCAAGGUGAAAGACAGAGAGUGUUAUCCUCAGGUUGGAUUCCUUCUGUUUUAGAUAUAUAUAUUAAAAAAAAAAAAAAGUAACUGAUUUUUAAAAUCUGUUUCUGGAUUGAGGAAGGAAAUAUUUAGUCCCCAGCUGUCAUUUUCCUUUCAACAACAUGAUACAUUGCAAAGCAGCCACGAGGCGGAUCCGUGUAUAAACUGGGUUUGCCAAAAGCUGUCGUGCUUUCAAAGGCACCCUGCUUCUACAGCUUCUGCCAACCUACUUUCUGCUGGGUGUGACUUACAGCCUUGUGCUGAGCAAAGUGGGUGCUGCUGAAGGAAAGGCAUCCCUUUCCUGUGUGUGGCCCAGCCUGUGUAAGUCAGCAGCUGUAGUCUGAGCAGGAUUAAAGACAAGAGCCGAGGAUCUGACAGCUGUAAAGUCAUCCUGGCUUUCUCCGCAGAAUUUUUGAAGUAUUAGUCAUGUGAGUUUUGGUCCCAAAGCCUCUUAAGGGGUUUUUAAACACUGCUUUCUCAAUCCUCAUCUCCAUUUCAUGCAUUUCAGGUUUUUGUUUUUUUCUUCCACGGAGGAAGAUCUGCCAGUCCCCAAAGGGCAGAGGGAUAAGAACAAAUGAGAGGAUUUCCAAAUUCCUUCUGUGCUGGGAAUUUUUCAGACCAGUGUUUGAGCAGAGGGGCAUGCCCACAUAUAGCUCUGCCUUUCAGGCAGCUGAAGGGGAAAGCUUAAAAGUGUUGUGGAAUUUAGUUUUGGUGAUUUCUGCAUUCACUGUGCUAGCACUGCACAGCUCCCUGUCUUCCUAUUGGGAUUGCAAAUGCUGAGCUCAGAGCUACUGGCUCCAGCCAAAAUUGGCAUGCAGAUUAAUGAAAAGCAAAAGAACUUACAGAGAUUUUUAGUUCUCUGAUCUCUUUAAAAAAAAAAAAAAAUUAAACAAAUUUUGAUUAUUAACUGAAUCAUUUACCUUCGGAAGGACAGGGGGUGGUGGUGGUGGUGUUACACUUUUCCCAAAACAGAAGGGCUGAUAAGUUUAUGGUUUCAUUUUAGCCACUGUUGCUUCUCUGACCAAAGUCUUUCCUGGGGUAAUAAAAAAAUGCACUCUGUGAAAGCAUGACUGAUAUAUCUGACACAUUUUAGAUAAGUAGACAAGCAAACUCCUCAAGAUGCCUCAUUUGUCUAGGUCUGAAGUUACCUUUGGUUGUUUUUCUGCAUGGCAAUAUUUGUGUGCUAGACCCAAGGUGCUUCUGUGUUCCCCUGAGCUCUAGCGCACCCUGAACACAGGUGCUUUUGGAUGUCAUGUCAGUAGACUUCCUUAAAACAUUCCUGGUGAAAUUGCUGUCUUGAAGUGACAGUGGCAGUGUGUAAUUAGAGAGAAUCUUUGCCCUGUGUGAGAUUCAGGUGCUGUGGAUUAUCUCUCUGCUUCUGUCACCAGCCUUUUCCUUAAGCAAUCAAUCAGCUUCUCUGGACUCCCCAUCCCUGAAGAGAUGUAAUGGUGAAAGAGAGAACAACUCUGCCUUCAUUUCUUGUUAAACAUGACUACAGCUGCUUAUUCAAAGGCUAUUGAAGAGCAUCUUCCAACCAG
This is a non-coding RNA of Zonotrichia albicollis (white-throated sparrow), 3799 nucleotides long. The record is from RefSeq and is a predicted model, not a curated record. Lineage: Eukaryota; Metazoa; Chordata; Aves; Passeriformes; Passerellidae.